This 253-nucleotide ribosomal RNA is filed under the name uncultured bacterium. Its description in RNAcentral is "partial 16S ribosomal RNA". It matches the Rfam family "Bacterial small subunit ribosomal RNA", at positions 524 to 776 of the family's 1533-position model. The record is from RNAcentral.
UACAGAGGGUGCGAGCGUUGUCCGGAAUCACUGGGCGUAAAGGGCGCGUAGGUGGCGACCCAAGUCGAUGGUGAAAGCUCGCCGCUCAACGGCGAGUCGGCCACUGAUACUGGGUUGCUGGAGCACUGUAGAGGCAGAUGGAAUUCCUGGUGUAGCGGUGGAAUGCGCAGAUAUCAGGAGGAACACCGGUGGCGAAGGCGGGUCUCUGGGCCGUUACUGACGCUGAGGAGCGAAAGCGUGGGGAGCGAACAGG